GCUACCUCCCCUACAAACGGAUAAUGGUUUGACCGACUGGCUUCAAAUUGCUUCAGCGACCACGGCUCGUGCGUUGCAUGGGGAGUCUAGAAGAACCUCAGAAACUGGGCCUAAGGAAACCCAAAGGAGGUGGAGUCUAGAAGAACCUCAGAAACUGGGCCCAAGGAAACCCAAAGGAGGGGGAGUCUAGAAGAACCUCAGAAACUGGGCCCAAGGAAACCCAAAGGAGGUU
This is a long non-coding RNA of Ornithodoros turicata, 232 nucleotides long. RefSeq lists it as uncharacterized. NCBI's taxonomy places the organism in Eukaryota, Metazoa, Arthropoda, Arachnida, Ixodida, Argasidae. The record is from RefSeq and is a predicted model, not a curated record. The transcript is spliced from 4 exons.